CACUUAAAAGUGGCAGGCUUUAAGGCUUUCAACUGUGCAUGUUUAUUACGUAGCUUAGAAAGGUUUGGCCACCAACAUAAGCUGUCACAAUAUGUGUAUGCAAUAGAUUUUGUUAGAACAUGACCUAUAUUUGCAAAUAGUCUUAAUCUUAAAAAAGAGAUGUUUUUUCAAAAUGUUUGGUGGACAUAUAAAGCAAUAGAGUGAGAAUAUCUUGUUUCUUGCAGCUCACCCAUCAUCUUCCCAGAAAAACAUCUGCAACCUGCUGAGCCCAAGGCUGUAGGAUCUGAAACCCUUUUCACAGUGUCUGAUUGGUUGAGGGGCUGGAGAGGACGCCUGUGCAGCUCAGAGUUUCUCUGCCUUGUUGAGCAGAGAUUUGGUACUUCCUUCUCUGCAUACUACUGACUGCCUAAGUGAAAGAAUAUAUAUGACAGGGUGGUUACAGAGUCUGCAUCAGCUGAUGAUGAAGAGAAUAGGCCAAUAUUCAGCAAGCCUUCAGGAACUCUUCACGAAGCCAACAAGCGUACAUUGUUUGCAAGUUUCGUUAAAACAUUUAGAGAGGAAUUACUACCUGCUCAUCUUCACAAGCAAGAAAGGAGGGUGA
Molecule: long non-coding RNA, 601 nt
Filed under: Anser brachyrhynchus (Pink-footed goose)
Lineage: Eukaryota; Metazoa; Chordata; Aves; Anseriformes; Anatidae
Description: lncRNA (ENSABRG00000020180.1)
Source: RNAcentral